Molecule: ribosomal RNA, 1795 nt
Filed under: Akkermansiaceae bacterium
Lineage: Bacteria; Pseudomonadati; Verrucomicrobiota; Verrucomicrobiia; Verrucomicrobiales; Akkermansiaceae
Description: partial 23S ribosomal RNA
Rfam family: Bacterial large subunit ribosomal RNA
Source: RNAcentral
CCCAGAUCAGCAGCUAAGGUGCCUAAAUUGUGCUCAGUGGAAAGGAGGUGAGGUUUCAUAGACAGUGAGGAUGUUGGCUUAGAAGCAGCCACCAUUUAAAAAAUGCGUAAUAGCUUACUCAUCGAGAGACCUUGCGCCGAAAAUACUUGGCGAUAAGCACAAUACCGAAGCUCUGGGUGUCCUAGUUUACUAGGGCGCGGUAGAGGAGCAUUCUCUGUGCAGUGAAGGGUGAUGGCGACUGACCCUGGAGCGCAGAGAAGUGAGAAUGCAGACAUGAGUAACGAUAAGAGCGGUGAAAUCCCGCUCCGCCGUAAAUCCAAGGUUUCCCGGGCAACGUUUUUCGUCCCGGGGUUAGUCGGGACCUAACCCGAGGCCGAUGGGCGUAGGGGAUGGUAAGCAGGUUAAUAUUCCUGCACCCAGUAAGGAGGACGCAUAAUGAAAAGCUACUAGGUUAUUGAAUUCCGAGGCGAGGCUUAGGCCGGACCGUAUAGCUGGACAGAGUGCCAAGAAAAGCCCUUACAUUAAUGGCCCGUACCGUAAACCGACACAGGUGGAUGGGUAGAAUAUACCAAGGCGCAAGAGUGAAACCUGGUCAAGGAACUCGGCAAAAUAGCCCCGUAACUUCGGAAGAAGGGGUGCCCCCUCUGGGGGGCCGCAGUGAAAUGGCCCAACCGACUGUUUAGCAAAAACACAGCAUUGUGCUAAGGCGUAAGCCGACGUAUACGAUGUGACACGUGACCAAUGCCAAAAGAUUACGGUAAGAUGUUAGCACUUUAGUGCGAAGCUUCGAGCCCAAGUCCUGGUGAAUGUCGGCCGUAACUAUAACGGUCCUAAGGUAGCGAAAUUCCUUGUCGGGUAAGUUCCGACCUGCACGAAUCGUGCAACGAGUUGGGCGCUGUCUCGACCAGGUGCUCAGUGAAAUUGUAGUUCCGGUGAAGAUGCCGGACACCCGCAGAAGGACGGAAAGACCCUAUAGACCUUAACUGUAAGCUGUUAUUGGUUGUUCGAUCUUAAUGCUCAGCAUAAGUGGGAGACAUUGAAGGGUGCGUUUAGGCGCAUCUGGAGUCAUCAGUGAGAUACCACCCUUUAAUAUUGGAUAAUCUAACCCCGAGCCGUCAUCCGGCCGUGGGGACAAUGGCAGCCGGUCAGUUUUACUGGGGCGGUAUCCUCCUAAAGAGUAACGGAGGAGCGCGAAGGUGGGCUCAGCACAGUUGGCAACUGUGUGUUGAGUGUAAAGGCACAAGCCCGCCUAACUGUGAGACCUACAAGUCGAGCAGAUACGAAAGUAGGCCUUAGUGAUCCGGCGGUAGAAUGUGGAAUUGCCGUCGCUCAACGGAUAAAAGGUACCUUAGGGAUAACAGGCUUAUCACGCCCAAGAGUUCAUAUCGACGGCGUGGUUUGGCACCUCGAUGUCGGCUCGUCGCAUCCUGGGGCUGGAGAAGGUCCCAAGGGUCCGGCUGUUCGCCGGUUAAAGCGGCACGCGAGCUGGGUUCAGAACGUCGCGAGACAGUUCGGUCCUCUAUCCUCUGUGGGCGUAGGAAAAUUGAAGGGUUCAGACCUUAGUACGAGAGGACCGGGUUUGACGCACCUCUGGUGUUCCAGUUGUUCUGUCAAGGGCACUGCUGGGUAGCUAAGUGCGGAACGGAUAAGCGCUGAAAGCAUCUAAGCGCCAAGCCAUUCCUGAGAUAAAUUUUCCCUGAAGGAUCGUGGAAGACGACCACGUUGAUAGGCUGGGGGUAGAAGUGCAGCAAUGUAUGUAGCUCACCAGUACUAAUCAUCCGUUCGACUUAAUUCC